This is a long non-coding RNA of Anas platyrhynchos (mallard), 5241 nucleotides long. RefSeq lists it as uncharacterized. The record is from RefSeq and is a predicted model, not a curated record. Lineage: Eukaryota; Metazoa; Chordata; Aves; Anseriformes; Anatidae.
CGCAGCCUGUACGGGGGCAAACAGAAGGCAGUGAGACAGGGGUGCAGCCCUGGGGCAGGGCCUGCUGUGGAGAGCUCACCUAUCUCGGCUCUGUCUGCACCCCCUUACCUACCUCGCCCCUCGCCUCACCUACAGCUUCAGCUCUCCUUGAGGGGAGGACUGCCUUGGCGGCGCCUUUUUAUAUGAUGCUCCAGCCCUUCUCAUGAUCGCCAGCAGGCACGCAAUGAUUUCAGCAUGAAUUACCAAAAGCAAAGGCAGGAGACUUACUUGCCUGAAAAUAAGCUCUGGUGCUGCUUUCAACACCACACCUCAGAGUGAAGAGUUGCCAUGAUUGUUGGGUGAAAUGAUAAAAACAUACGUGCUCCAGCUGCUGCCUCCUCUGUUCUCCCUUUUCAGAGCUCGGUGUUGGGAAAGUCUCUGCUCUAACUUUGUGGUCCCUGCAUCCCAAAUAUGGCCACAGUGGUUGAUUAGACUGGGGGAUUUGCUUUUUGAUUAUUUUUUUUUUUUUAAAAACAACACACAAACAGCCUUUUAAGAUCCCAGAAGCUAGAAGCAGCCCUACGAUAACAAACUGUGGUUAGAGCCACACUUUUAUCAUAAUACUAGCGUGGUAUUAACAAGUAAACAUUUUUUUCCUAGCCUAGCUAAAACGAAUUAAUAUUUUUGAAGGCCCAUGGGGAUUACCUGUAAACCAGCACAGGUAUUCCCAAACUCCCUCCUGGCACUGUGUACAGGUGUGCACCUUCAGCGACAAGCUGGGGCUCUUGCAAGAGGAAAAUGUGCACAUUACUGCUGACCUUUGACCAAGCUGGCAGUAAUCCCACUGCUUCACAUUACUACUUCCCUUCCUCUUUGCAGUGGGUGCUCACAGGCACCGGGCUACAGACAACGCAAGGGAGCCACCGAGCCAGGGGCUCCUGCAGCACUGUAUUGGCUUGCAGCCCUGUGCAAGGCCAGGGUAGAUGCGUCUGCCUUUUCCUGGGUCUGUGUAGCCUCUGGGGUGAUGCUCAUCCCCUGCACACCCUAGUCCACAAGGCCGGGUUGUUUUGGGGUUGCCCUGCUUGCCUAGGCCUCACUGCCUCAGCACUUAUCUCCAGUAGAGGAGGGAGCCAGACUGACCUCUUGCACUCCACUGACUGACAGCAGAGAAAUAAGGAAUCAGGUGGAUGCAGAGAAUAUUCAGACUCCCUCUUCCUUCCCUGCAGAGACCUCAGGAAACACAUCUGAGCGGUGCUGGGAAGGCCCUGAACAGGGAGAGCUCCCUGAGUGCAGUGCCAACCGCUGGCGGCGGUGAGCCUCAGUUUAGCAGUCCCGAGCCCUGACAGGGCAUGAAAGGAGCUCCCACCCCGUCCCCCGCAGCACAGCUCUCCCCGUCCCUCCUGCACGCUUCGUGCCAGCUUUAUCUCACCACUUCGCUCAUCUUCCAAAGGGAAGGAGGUGAUAGUUUCCGACACGAUUUCCCCCCACCUGUACUUCCCCUUACAAUGCAUCACAGGCAUGACUACAGCCAGACCGGGGCACGGCGCGGGCCCACUCAGCCCACUGACCUGUGGCAGAAAGCCACUGGCCCAAAAGCAUAGAAAAAGCAGUUCUUGCACGCUACACGGGAUGAGACCUGGCAUACCCCAACAUGUGGCAGUCACAAAUUUAGGGGCUUCCUGACGUUGGCAGCUUAUUGCUACUGCUGGAGCUACCUUCCACAAAUAGGCUGUGCCCCUUCAGGAACACAUGUAUAUUUUUGGCUUCCGCAGCAAAACUCCCAUGGGUUACAUGACUUGAUUACAUGCUGUGUGAAAAAGCAUUUCCUUCUGGUUACUUUAAAAGCGACCCAUUUGGGACGGUGAUUCUCAAAGUUCCUCCUGCUGUGCACUUGUGUGUGUGUGUCUGUGUGUGUUUUUCCUCGACCACUUCGUUGCCUGUUCUCACAGUUCAGCUCUUACUAUUGCUGGCGAGACCUCCAGGAGCAGCCAGGAAAGCUUCGGGACUGUGGAUCCUGGUGAUAACAAUGCAGUCGAGUGUGUAUUUUCUAUUUUCUUUUGCAGCAAUAGGGGAAGAGUAGGCGUACAGUAAAUGUCAGUGAGACAUCGCAUCAUGAGUUGCAUGAGGUUCUCCGCGCCUUGCCCCAAAGAGUCUCCUUUGCAACCAAAAGGAGAACAAAAACCUCCUCGGCAGUACAUGUGCAGGGGCUGGAAACUCCUGCUGAUGUCACAUCUACCCUUACAAGGCUCUGCACCCUUGAAACUGCAACCUGAAUGCUACAGGCCUGAAGGAACCAAGGUCCAUGAAGAGUCAUUCAGUCCCACAAAAGUCCCCUUUCACUUUAAAGGUGAACUGCAAAGCAAAAAUGAAAACUCAGUUCUGUCCCAUUUCUGCGCUGAAUGCUCUCCAUAACCAGGCUGCGGGGGAGGUAUCCACCAUGGAAAUAAUUUUUAAUGACUUUUCUAGAAAAAGAAAUAAACCACCCUCCUGCACACCGCGAAGCCUGCCUGCUCACUGGGCACUCGCGUUGCUCCUCCGCUGGCAGCCCGCGGCGCUGAACCAAGGAAAGGGCUGACCAAACAGCAGAAAAAGUGUGUUUCAUUCAAACUACUCCUAAACACAACAGGGCUGAUUAGAAGAGAAAGGUGAAUUUAGAGGAAAAGCAUCCUUCCUUGUUCACUCUGAAACAGAGGGCAGAAAGGCUGUUGAGCUCACGUUUUUUAAGAAGAGUCUUUAACAAUCUUUAAUUCUUAACAAAACCUUUAACCAGAUUUCCCCCUUUCCUUCAUCCCUUGUGGCAGCCAGGUUUCAGAAAUUCCCCCGGCCACAGAGAGCUUGGUUCUGCUGGCCAGGCUGCACAGGAGAGCGGCUUGCCUCUGGGACAGAGCACUGCUGAGACAUUUGCCUGUAAAAGGCAGCAAAAGACCACGCAAGGCUUUAGAGGAGCAGGGUCAGGCUGCUGGAAACUUCAGUUAAUUCCCUGGGAAAGGAGAGCCCGAAGCCAUCUCCUUCCCUUCCACCCACCACUUCUCUAUCCUGCUGAGCCAUUUUGACAUUUUUUUUUGGCCUCACCUUGUGUCACCUCGCUCCACACACAACCCACAAGGCAAGCCACACGGAGGGAAAGGUCCUUCGUGGUGGACCUGGAGUCCCUCGCCCCUCUGAGUAAGCAGCACGUAAGACAGUGCACCUGUACAUUUUUCCAAAUGACACUUCUACAAAAAGCUCUGUCAGGCUUUUAUGUUAGUUUAAAAAUUGAGAAAUUUGAAGAGCUCAACUGGACUGGACUCUCCCCGUUGGUCUUUUCUUUACCCCAGGAAAUUUUACCAGUGAGCGAUCAGAUUCUUUCAAGGAUUUCCAUGAAGAUAAAACUCAGCAAAUAUCCUGUGCUACACUUGAACACUGAAAGAAAUACCUCAUAUGUCAUCUAACCCACACUGUGAAUAUACCGAAAAGAGCCCAACAGAUGCUCAGAUAAUUCCUGUGUGGAGACACUGGGACAAAAUCACUGCCUCACUCUGCAUUUCACUACAAAGACCUCAUGAAAUGAGAAAGACCAGAUGAAACAGAGAAAAGUAGGUGCUGACAGCCCUCUUCAGAGAGCCUGGGACUGGCUACUAACCUGCACACAAGUGCCUGGGAAGUCUCCAAGGGUCCUGCUGCCCAGGCUCAAUUUCAGCAUGCAGGGAGGUCUCAGCACACAGAGAAAAGAGGAAUGCUCCUUUCCCCUUUCAUAAACUCCAGCCCAGCCCUCGGUAAUGAAUUAAUUACUGCCGCUAUCCAUCCCUCAGCUGUUCUGCACUGCUCUGGCAAAGAGAAGCAGCUGUGAACCGAAUUUGGUUCACGGUGUCACAGUUUAGCUGCUGUCACGGUGACCUUCUGAGGAGAAAUCCUUGGAACCACGAAGCAGCUGUGAAAAGCAGAGGAGACCUUUCUGCAUCUACAGACAGCAAGACAGCACAUCUCAGGGGAUGUGCACUAAGCCCAUCUUUCCAGCAGGCUGUUAACCAGGGGCCCUAGUGAUGACGAAUCGGAAAGUAUCAAUCUUAUUUGUCUCCCUGAUGACACCUUGCUAAGAAGUUAUGUGCUGUGGGCAACACUCGCUUCAGAGAAGCUCACGCGGCUGUCCCAACACGUGUGCUGUCAGGUGUGGGCUUGGUUUCUCGGACACGCACCGCUCCCAUCAGGUCCUGCCAAAGCCUUCCUCCCUCUGACUAGAGUUGCAUUGGAAGGUUCCUGACAAAAACACCAGAAACUUAAUUUCACUCCCUCUUGGUUAUCUUUAUGCCAUGAAAACCAGGCAGAUGGAGGAGAGAGUGUCACGGUGACCUUCUGGUAGGUCCUGCUCACUUACUCAUCCCAGAUGUGGGGAGGGAGGUAGCGACUAAAUCGCUGCUCUGACAAAAACCUGGCCUUGAAGAAACUCCACGGAUCAUGAAAACUUGCACUAUCUGCAAUUAGCAACUGAGAAGGUGAAAGGGAAUCUGAAGCACUUUGGUGAAGGGGCUCACUGCAGCGCUGGGGCAACUCCCGCCAGCCAGUCCUCCUCCCCCCUGCUCCUGCCCUGCCCGAGUCCUGUUUCGGAACUUCUCGAGAUAAAAAUCUGCCGCUCUCUGAGUCACGAGUGCCUCGCGCUGGGACAAGCCCACCGCUUGGGUAUGUCCAGUCUGUUUUGCUUAUAAGAUGAGUAAGAUUGCAACUCUUCACAUCACAAGUCAGUUGGCAAAUUUCUGAUCUUGGUGCUAGCCAGGAGGUCGCCUCCGAGCACGGAGCUGGAGAGGAGAAGUCAAAGUACUUGGGGGGAACAGUGAUGACGACUAAAUCAUUUCUGAAUAUCCUCCCCUUUGCCGCAGAGCCCUCUGCAUGGAUGUUGCUCAGGGAGGAAAGGAAGGAGGGCUUCCUUAUUUUCUUACCUCCUGUCAGUGUAUAUGAGGAGGGACGCUGGGGAUGGGGACAUUUCUGAUUUGGGGAAAGGAGAGAAGGGAAGAGUCUUUCCGAGCCUUCCCCCUUUCUCCUUUCCCUGCACUGGGAGUAGGUGACCCAGCUAGAUGAAAAAGGGCAGGGGAAACAAAAAAUUUGGAUGCCUUUGGAGGAUUUGCAUGUUUUAGUUCCGUUCAAGCUCAAAUCCCUGCAUCUGGCUCAGCACUCUUACAAUUUCCCAGUUCGGGACAGAAACUAGAUGUGGCAGUUGUGUAAGACAGGCCUUUGGGGGAGAUUUGUAGCACAUGAAGACAAAAAUAAAUUUGUUAUUUUUUUUUUUUC